GAACUUCUUUUUUUUUUUUUACUCUUUUAAAAUACAUAUCAUAAAUUGCCCUUAGACAGCAUUCAUAUUCCUGUUUGAGUUGAUAAAAAACCUUUGUAGUUCACUGCCAUCUUCAUUAUGCAUGAAAUGUGACUAUAUGGAAUAUACCGUGACUCUAGGAGCAAUAAUGUAUUACCUUGAGGCUUACAUAGAUCAAAAUCUGAUGGCUAGAUUGAGAGAUAGGAUAAAAUGGAGGUUGAACAAAAUUAUUUUUAGUUGCGGUUUCGUGACUUGACAGAAUAAAGUUUUAUGACUAUUUGGUCUAUUUUAUAGUGAGUAUCAUGCAUCAGUCGAGAAAGCUGAUGACCAACUUACUACACUACUGGCUCUAAUAAUAUGUAUUCAUCUCUUUUCAUUUUCCAUGAUAAUAUUUUGUCAUUUUAAAAUUCCAUCUUUAUUAUAAUCCACCUAAGCAUAUUUUUUAUCACCACAAUACUUCCCACAAUGUCUUGUUUGUAACUUAUCUCUGAUAUAUAUAGUUCAUUAAAUGAUUCAUAUUUCAGUCCUGGUAAUAACCCAGGGAAUGUAAAUCUUGAGUGAAAUAAUUUACAGAGAAAAUUAUAAAACUCAUUAUGCACGAAGAAUGAGAACUAUGUUUAUAUAGAUUUACUAUUUAUUCCUAACUGAGGGUGGCUUUCUACCAAUGUUAAUUAUCCCUUUUGGUUUUUAAUUGAAUUCCUAAAUUUUAGCUUGGCACAAGGCUACUCGGCAAAUUACUACAUUCCCCAGCUUCUUUUGAAGCUCUCUGUGAGUGGAACUAAUGUGAACUACUUCUGUGUAGUUCUCUUAAGAGGGGAUUUUGCCCUUUCUUCCCCGAGUGAGAUAUAAGAAUGAUUGCAAGAGCUCAAGCAACUUCUGGAAUCCAGCAUGUUCCAAAUUUGAAGAUAAACGUUGAAAUAGGAAGAAGAAGGGGCAACUCCUUGGACACUGAGGCUACAGAUGGAAGUGAGGCCCCUUUGGUAAAGAACCUUCUGCACCCUAAAAAGGACUUACAAAGUUCUCUGCUCCAUCCCGAUCCAAUAGAGGAAAAGCACAUCAUACUUGUGCACCAUCCAAGGCCCAGCAUGUGAGUUUUUGCCUUUUGGAGAUGAAUAAGAAAGUUGGACGUGUUGGACUGUGCUUAACGAAUGCAUGGGUAUGAAGCUUCUCACAGCGCUGGAGCUGGAGGGAAAAGCAUAGUGGUGGAUGAUGUGGACCAGCCCUCCUUGGCGUCCACAUUCCAGCAAGAAACUACAAGGGGUCUAAGAAAUUUGAAGUUAGCCUUUCAGGUAAUUAUGAACUUACAUUUGUCAAAGUAGAAGACUAGUCUGUGGUGUAUUUAACAUUUUGUUAGCUUAAUUGAUAAGUUUUAAAUAUUCAGACAUAUGUUAUAUAAAUCUUUAUUUGUACUCUGGCUUUAAGACCCACAAUCGUUAAGGGCGGAUCGCAUAGAUAACUUCGGGGGACAAAAGACAGUACAAGAUGUGAUUCUGGUCAAUCAGUUAGUUACAAAAAAUGUGUUAAUAACACAUGAUACUCUAUGCUAUAAAGUUCUGGUUCCUUGCUCUGGUGUUUGUUCAUAAUAAAUGGCUACAAUUAUGUCUACGCUUGUAUCCAUGCUCUUAGCUAAUUUCUUCCUACACAGAUUCUGUCCUUCUUCAUGUGAAUUGCUUUGGUCAACGGAGCAAUAUCAAUGUAAUAUAAGCAGAGACUUAAGAAAUACUUUUUCAUUGGGGCUUGUCUGCUCUUGCUAUUCUGAGAUUCCUAUCAUGUAAAAAAGCUUGAGAUAGUCUCUUGGAUGGUAAGAAAUACAUGGCCAAGUCAUCCUAUUACCCGAGCUGCCAUCAAGCCUACCAUCAGAUGUAUGUGUGGGGCCAUCUAAUCUCAGCUGAACCACUAGCUGACCAUAGAGAGAUCAGCUGAAUCAGACCAGGUCAGAACAGUCCAACUGGCAUAGAAAAACUGAGAAACGAUAAGUAUUUCUUAAGUCACUAAGUGUUGGAGUGGUUUGUUAUGUAGCAAUACCUAUUGAAACAUUUACCCAGGAUUUUCAUUACUAAGUCAUUUCUUAUUUUCUUUAUGAUAUAUUCUAAACUCAACACGACACAGAAGAUGCUUUAAUAUAUAUCCAUGGUUGCCCCUUUAGCUUUAUCUCUUUGAUGUCCCCCCAUCUCUAACCCUUACAUCCCAUCUUAAUGCCAUGUAUAAUUGCUUGCAGGCUUUCAAACAUCCAAAGCUCUUUCAAAUCAUUGACUUCGGUUUUGCUUCUCUUUCUACCUUGAUUUCCCUUCUAUUGUAUGUUCUGAUUCCCUUCAAGGGAAUCAUUUUUUUCAAGGCCCAUUUCCUAUCUUUUAAUUUUUUCUGGUCCACUGACAUAGAGUAGUACACUCUCAUUUUCUCCCAUUGCAUUAUAAUAUUUAAUUGUACCCAUUAUUCUACACUUACUGCUCUCUUUCUAUUACAUUUUAAGUGAGUCAGCCCUUUGACAGUAGGAGCCAUUAUCUAUUUGUCUCUGCGUCCUCAACAUCUAAUAGAGAUGAUGAUAUAAACUUAAUGCAGGAUGGGUGAAUGACAAAUGAGAAAAGAAGAGAGAAGGGAAAGAUAAAAAAAAAAAAAAAAAAAAGUAGACAACAGAUACAGACAUCUUGCUUCACUUCCAGGACUGAGAUGGAAGGAAAACAAUAAUUCAAAUCAAGGGGAAUGGGUUGUUUUUAUUGUUAUGGGCUGUUAUUUUUUAAUUUGACUUCAGAAGCUAUUCUACAGCCUGUUUUUAUGAGGAAUUAAAAGUCAAAAUAAAGGCAGGGGAUUAGUUUUUGGGUUAAGUGUCUUGAGAAUGGCAUGUUUGGAUGUAUUUGGCUAAUUAGCAUUAUAUGAAAGAAGUUUUUCUGAUAUAGGAUAUAAGAAUGUCUGUGUGUGUGUGUGUGUGUGUAUAAGCAAGUAAUAAUAUAGGAAAUUGAGUGAGUUCUCCAUCACACUGUCUCUACUUACUACAUGAAGUUUUAGGCAAUUGGGAAACAUCUACUCUAAGCAAAGGAGAAAGAGGAAUACGGGGGAGUGGAGGAGUUCAAUAAAGGUCUGGAACAACCAAUGUGUUGACCUUGAGAGUGGAUCAAUGAUAUUUAAAGGAUACGUAGGCAACUUUGUUAUUUUCCAUUACCUUUCUUUAUUGACAAACUGAUUUAUUGUGUUCUUUUUCUGGCGUAUUUUUCACAAUUGGUCUUAG
Molecule: long non-coding RNA, 3241 nt
Filed under: Papio anubis (olive baboon)
Lineage: Eukaryota; Metazoa; Chordata; Mammalia; Primates; Cercopithecidae
Description: lncRNA (ENSPANG00000049394.1)
Source: RNAcentral